This 254-nucleotide ribosomal RNA is filed under the name uncultured bacterium. Its description in RNAcentral is "partial 16S ribosomal RNA". It matches the Rfam family "Bacterial small subunit ribosomal RNA", at positions 524 to 776 of the family's 1533-position model. The record is from RNAcentral.
UACGGGGGGAGCAAGCGUUGUUCGGAUUUACUGGGCGUAAAGGGCGCGUAGGCGGCCACCGCAAGUCGACUGUGAAAUCUCCGGGCUUAACCCGGAAAGGUCAGCCGAUACUGCGGGGCUAGAGUGCAGAAGGGGCAACUGGAAUUCUCGGUGUAGCGGUGAAAUGCGUAGAUAUCGAGAGGAACACCUGCGGCGAAGGCGGGUUGCUGGGCUGACACUGACGCUGAUGUGCGAAAGCGUGGGGAGCGAACAGG